Molecule: ribosomal RNA, 406 nt
Filed under: uncultured bacterium
Lineage: Bacteria
Description: bacterial SSU rRNA
Rfam family: Bacterial small subunit ribosomal RNA
Source: RNAcentral
AGCGAACGUUAGCGGCAGGCCUAACACAUGCAAGUCGCACGAGAAUCCGGCUUCGGCCGGUAGUAAAGUGGCGGACGGGUGAGUAACACGUGGAUAAUCUGCCCUUCGGCGGGGGACAACAGUCCGAAAGGAUUGCUAAUACCGCGUAAGUCGGCGAGGUCUUCGGAUCUUGUCGGGAAAGAUGGCCUCUUCAUGAAAGCUAUCGCCGAAGGAUGAGUCCGCGUCCCAUCAGCAGUUGGCGGGGUAAUGGCCCACCAAGGCUUAGACGGGUAGCUGGUCUGAGAGGAUGAUCAGCCACACUGGAACUGAGACACGGUCCAGACUCCUACGGGAGCAGCAGUGGGGAAUAUUGGGCAAUGGGCGCAAGCCUGACCCAGCCAUGCCGCGUGAGUGAUGAAGGCCCUUC